Molecule: ribosomal RNA, 502 nt
Filed under: uncultured bacterium
Lineage: Bacteria
Description: bacterial SSU rRNA
Rfam family: Bacterial small subunit ribosomal RNA
Source: RNAcentral
AUUGAACGCUGGCGGCAUGCCUUACACAUGCAAGUCGAACGGGGGUAGCAAUACCCUAGUGGCGAACGGGUGAGUAAAGCAUCGGAACGUACCCAGUUGUGGGGGAUAACGUAGCGAAAGUUACGCUAAUACCGCAUACGCACUGAGGUGGAAAGCGGGGGACCUUUGGGCCUCGCGCAAUUGGAGCGGCCGAUGUCGGAUUAGCUAGUUGGUGAGGUAAAAGCUCACCAAGGCGACGAUCCGUAGCUGGUCUGAGAGGAUGAUCAGCCACACUGGAACUGAGACACGGUCCAGACUCCUACGGGAGGCAGCAGUGGGGAAUUUUGGACAAUGGGCGAAAGCCUGAUCCAGCCAUGCCGCGUGAGUGAAGAAGGCCUUCGGGUUGUAAAGCUCUUUCAGACGGAAAGAAAUAGCUUCGGUGAAUAUCCGAGGUUGAUGACGGUACCGUAAGAAGAAGCACCGGCUAACUACGUGCCAGCAGCCGCGGUAAAAUCACGUGUAC